RNAcentral lists this ribosomal RNA (74 nucleotides) under Streptomyces sp. LB8. The record is from RNAcentral. Lineage: Bacteria; Bacillati; Actinomycetota; Actinomycetes; Kitasatosporales; Streptomycetaceae.
ACCCGGAAGCUAAGCCUUACAGCGCCGAUGGUACUGCAGGGGGGACCCUGUGGGAGAGUAGGACGCCGCCGGAC